AACCUAGCACACCUGCGGUGUGUACCUGCGGAAGGAUCAUUACAGAGUUGCAAAACUCCCUAAACCAUUGUGAACCUACCUUCUACCGUUGCUUCGGCGGGCGGGCCUAGCGCCCCCCCGGCCCCCCGCGGGCGCCCGCCGGAGGAUAACCAAACUCUUGACAUCAGUGGCCUCUCUGAGUAUUCUUUACUGAAUAAGUCAAAACUUUCAACAACGGAUCU
RNAcentral lists this unclassified non-coding RNA (221 nucleotides) under soil metagenome. Its description in RNAcentral is "partial contains 5.8S ribosomal RNA, internal transcribed spacer 2, and large subunit ribosomal RNA". The record is from RNAcentral.